Molecule: ribosomal RNA, 593 nt
Filed under: uncultured bacterium
Lineage: Bacteria
Description: bacterial SSU rRNA
Rfam family: Bacterial small subunit ribosomal RNA
Source: RNAcentral
AAGAAAGAUUAAUACCCGAUGGUACCGCAUGGUUAAAGAAUUUCGGUUAUCGAUGGGGAUGCGUUCCAUUAGAUAGUUGGCGGGGUAACGGCCCACCAAGUCUUCGAUGGAUAGGGGUUCUGAGAGGAAGGUCCCCCACAUUGGAACUGAGACACGGUCCAAACUCUACGGGAGGCAGCAGUGAGGAAUAUUGGUCAAUGGACGAGAGUCUGAACCAGCCAAGUAGCGUGAAGGAUGACUGCCUAUGGGUUGUAAACUUCUUUUAUAUGGGAAUAAGUGGAGUAUGUAUACUCUUUUGUAUGUACCAUAUGAAUAAGGAUCGGCUAACUCCGUGCCAGCAGCCGCGGUAAUACGGAGGAUCCGAGCGUUAUCCGGAUUUAUUGGGUUUAAAGGGAGCGUAGGCGGAUGCUUAAGUCAGUUGUGAAAGUUUGCGGCUCAACCGUAAAAUUGCAGUUGAAACUGGGUGUCCUGAGUGCAGUAUAGGCAGGCGGAAUUCGUGGUGUAGCGGUGAAAUGCUUAGAUAUCACGAAGAACUCCGAUUGCGAAGGCAGCUUGCUGGAGUGUCACUGACGCUGAUGCUCGAAAGUGUGGGU